This is a long non-coding RNA of Oncorhynchus keta (chum salmon), 1107 nucleotides long. RefSeq lists it as uncharacterized. NCBI's taxonomy places the organism in Eukaryota, Metazoa, Chordata, Actinopteri, Salmoniformes, Salmonidae. The transcript is spliced from 5 exons. The record is from RefSeq and is a predicted model, not a curated record.
UGAUGGCCACCAUCUAAUGUUAGAGACAGGAAUCAGCAGGUGAUGGCCACCAUCUAAUGUUAGAGACAGGAAUCAGCAGGUGAUGGCCACCAUCUAAUGCUAGAGACAGGAAUCAGCAGGUGAUGGCCACCAUCUAAUGUUAGAGACAGGAAUCAGCAGGUGAUGGCCACCAUCUAAUGCUAGAGACAGGAAUCAGCAGGUGAUGGCCACCAUCUAAUGUUAGAGACAGGAAUCAGCAGGUGAUGGCCACCAUCUAAUGCUAGAGACAGGAAUCAGCAGGUGAUGGCCACCAUCUAAUGUUAGAGACAGGAAUCAGCAGGUGAUGGCCACCAUCUAAUGCUAGAGACAGGAAUCAGCAGGUGAUGGCCACCAUCUAAUGUUAGAGACAGGAAUCAGCAGGUGAUGGCCACCAUCUAAUGCUAGAGACAGGAAUCAGCAGGUGAUGGCCACCAUCUAAUGUUAGAGACAGGAAUCAGCAGGUGAUGGCCACCAUCUAAUGCUAGAGACAGGAAUCAGCAGGUGAUGGCCACCAUCUAAUGUUAGAGACAGGAAUCAGCAGGUGAUGGCCACCAUCUAAUGCUAGAGACAGGAAUCAGCAGGUGAUGUUUACUGUUUAUGAAUGCUCACCAGGACAAGUCUCUUAGAGGGAUUUAUUAAGUUACACUGAGUGGAUGAGCUUCAUAUUGUUCUCUGUGUUUUACGCACCAUUAAAUGCAUUAUCUCUAAUUGUCUUUAAUUCAAUCUAAUAGGGCAUUCAUGCAUUAUUGCCUUCAUAUUAGUAGUGUAUGCAGAGUGUUAUUAGUGAUUUAUUGUCAUUUCAUUUGUGAGUUAUACAUAUUUUCACUAAUGUGAAUUAAAGAGAUUUUCCUUUUGAAUAAGUAUUCAUUUUUAAUCAAUGAAUGAAGUAUUACUUUUUGUUAACAUAAAUAGUAGCGUAUGUGGGAGAUGAAUAUGUAAAUCAAUUGUAGUAAUUUAGAAAUACGAAUUUGCAGAAUUAGAUUUAGAAAAACAGUUAGCGAUAUAAAAGCAGUGCAUUUGGGAGAGGAUAAAUACAUGAACUAACUGACAUAUAUUUACCUGAGAGGGAGAGAGAGAGAGAGAGAGAGA